GGCACGGUGGCAUAGUGGUUAGCACUGUUGCACUCGCAAGGAGGAGGUGCCGAGUUCGAAUCCGGGUCCUUCCG
This 74-nucleotide transfer RNA is filed under the name Anguilla anguilla (European eel). RNAcentral describes it as "tRNA-OTHER". Lineage: Eukaryota; Metazoa; Chordata; Actinopteri; Anguilliformes; Anguillidae. The record is from RNAcentral.